CCAUGUCCAGCCUGUCUAGUCUUUUCUUUUUUUAAUUUCUUUCUUUUUUUCGUUCUUUCUUUCUUUCUUUCUUUUUUUUUUUUUUUGAGAUAGGAUGUUGCUCUGUUGCCCAGGCUGGAGUGUGGUGGUGUGCGGUCAUGGUUCACUGCAGCCUGGCUGGAACUCCUGGGCUCAAGCCAUCCUCCAGCCUCAACCUCCCAAAGCACUGGGAUUACAGGUGUGAACCACCACGCCCAGCCCAUCCAGGGUCUGCAACAUUAGAACAUUUGAAGGAACUGGUUGAGCGAAGGUGGACCUUGGCAGGAAGGAGCGGGAUGCGGGAUGGGGUUGGGAGGCUCCCAGGCAGGGGCAGAGAAGGAGCCAGGCUGCCGGUUGUGCUGACUUGGACCUGGGACUAAGGCAGAAAUUCGAGGGAUGAUGGGACUAAGACAGAAAGCCCGAGAUGAGGCAAUGGUGGGAAGAGCGUUCAGCAGAGGUGGACGGCAGAGGGGUCAGGGUCGGCACAGGGAGGGGCAACACCUCACCGCAGAGGGUGCGGUCCCGCCAGCCAGCCAGGGCAGCGCCCGCCUCCUGGCAGAGGAUGGCGUACCCACUGAGGACCUGGCAACGCAGCUCCUCUUGCUCUCUUGGGUCCUGAGCAGAGCACAGAUCCAGCACGCAGUGCCUGGUGCAGAGAGGGGGCAGGAAGGGCACAGUCAGUUUGGGGAGGGGAGGAGACCCACCCCUGCAGAAGAGAGCCUGGAACCCCAAACAGAAAGACAUCAGUCGGUGUCCAGUGAGGGUCACAAGGAAAUUAGGCCACAGGGAGAACGGAGGAGUGAACCACACAGAGCUUGGGUCAGGAAGCGGGCAGGAGGCCCCAGGGAAAGACCAGAGCAGGCACCUGGGCCAUUCCCACAAGUCCUGGGCCCAUGACUCACUCUUGGAAGGGCUCUGGGGCCACCGUCUGGUGACAGGCAGCAAAGGGGCCCUGGGGGUCUGCCAGCACCCUACAGGCCUGGGUGCUGUUGCUCGCCAGCUGCUCCGGGCUACAUUCGGACACUUGGAGGCCCGUGCGGAGGCCCAGCUCCGCCCCUUGUCCCUCCUCCUCCGCUGGUAUAGCCCUGCAGUAGAGACAGCCACGGGGUCAGGUGAGGCCCCAAGGAAGGUGAAGUGGGGGAAGAAGAAGAACUGAUUAGCCGGGCAUGGUGGUGGCUGCCUGGAGUCCCAGCUACCCGGGAGGCUGAGGCAGGAGGAUGACUUGAGCCCAGGAGGUGGAAACUGCAGUGAGCCAAGAUCACGCCACUGCACUCCAGCCUGGGUAACAGAGCACGACCCGGUCUCUAAAAAAUAUAUUUUAAAAAAAGAAAUAAGAACUACUGGGGCUGGGUGUGGUGGCUCACACCUGUAAUCCCAGCACUUUGGGAGGCCUAGGUGGGCAGAUCCCUUGAGGUCAGGAGUUCGAGACCAGUAUGGCCAACAUGGUGAAACCCUGUCUCUACUAAAAAUACGAACAUUAGCUGAGCGUGGUGGCCCAUGCCUGUAGUCCCAGCUACUUGGGAGGCUGAGGCACGAGAAUCACUUGAAACUGGGAGGCAGAGGUUGCAGUGAAGGAGGAGGAAAGAAGGAAGAAGGAAGAAGGAAAAAUAACUGGGAAGGCAGGCUGAGGGCAGGGCAGGGGCACAGAGAGAGAUUUCCAUUGAGCGGGAGCCCCCAGAGUCAGAUGAGAGGGAAUGACGGAAUUGGGAGGAUCCAGGCCUAUCUGCACCCUCUCCCUGGAGUUUCAUCCUCUCCUGAGGACAGGAGGGCUAGCGGCCACCGUGCACAGACAUUGUUGUUCACCUCCCCCGCCUCAUCCCUUCCAGGCCGUGCACCUGGGGAAGCGCAGGAGUGCGUCCUCGGUCUUCACCUCCCAGCUGUUGCCAAAGGUGUUGAGGUUCUGGGUCAGGGCGCCACUGGGCAGCAUCAUGUCAUUCUUGCGGUUCUUGUCGUAGUUUCCGCACAGGCCACUCACAAGCC
This 1998-nucleotide long non-coding RNA is filed under the name Homo sapiens (human). Its description in RNAcentral is "non-protein coding lnc-EPHB4-2:1". Lineage: Eukaryota; Metazoa; Chordata; Mammalia; Primates; Hominidae. The record is from RNAcentral.